Long non-coding RNA from Bolinopsis microptera, 1621 nucleotides. RefSeq lists it as uncharacterized. The transcript is spliced from 4 exons. Lineage: Eukaryota; Metazoa; Ctenophora; Tentaculata; Lobata; Bolinopsidae. The record is from RefSeq and is a predicted model, not a curated record.
GUACAAGGCAUCAUAUCAAAGAUUGCAUAUGCCCGAAAGAAGGACAAAUCCAAUUUGGCUUUCUGGAUGUAUGGAAAGCUCUCAACCUUCCAGAAAAGUACUUUUCAAAGGAACACUUAAAUCCCUCCGACAGGCCCUCUGGUGGUGACGUAUAAGUGCUUUCUCAGUACUUUCUCUCGCUUUUGGACAAAUCCAAGUGCUGUAUCUGUACCCGAAUAGAAAUAAAGGAUUUUAAUGAAACAGUUUUCUUCCGCUCUGAAAGUGAACGAAUGACAAAACAGUCUAGAGAAUUCCUCGCCCUGCUGCAGAAGAUCAAUCCUGGGUUGUGCUCACCAAAGCAAACCUCUUUUUUGUGUAUUCAGUGUCUUAACUAUGUAAAAGACAACUAUAACAGGGUGAGUGGUUUCCUCCUGUUUUACUAACAUUUAAAAACAUUAUUAUUCAAAGGUAAAUAGACAGCGAGUAGUAAUUUUUAAUCCAUUUCUAUCGGAUUUGCAAACUUUUAAAAUGAUAUAACACUUGUACGAUCUCAAACUUAUGUGAUUUGAUACUGUUGAUAUAAAUGUGGGAAGUAAUAAAGUAUUUGCAGGUGUACAGUGCUGUUUCUGAAAUUGACGAAUCCUCUUGUGAUGAAGAUUGAAGAAGCUAUUGCCAUCCAAGUGGAAAAAGUUCCGCCUUUGUCACCCUCCUCGAAUAGAACUAAGAAAAUGUGGAGACUUUCUUCAUUUAGUUCCCAAUCAAGUGGACCAGAUGUUGAUUUGUUUGAAAUGGACUGAGACUUGUGUUUCAUAUGCCAGGUUGAACAGACGUUAGAAACGAAAAAGGAUAGUCUGAUUCAAGGAAAAGAUAAAAGUUUCUUCGUCGAUUUCGCAACAUACUAUCUGUGGACAUCUACAUUCUACAGAAAUCGUCAGGAUCUGUGCAACAUCGAUCUUAAUCCUGAUUCGCACAUGAACAAGUGCCCUGUUCUUAACCCUGAAAGUCUCGGAAAAUAUCUCUAUAGCAAGCUAGGUAGAUAUCACAAAACAUGUCGUUUGAGGUACAGCAACUCGAGGGUGAAACAAUUGAAGGGUAAAUUAUCUGAAGCUUUAAAAUGGAAAGACACGUGUCCACGCACGACAACACCAAUGCUGCAUUAAUGAGUGCAGGUAUUGACGCUGUACGGACCUUUUAACUGGAGCAGGAGAAUGUUUUACCAGAACUGUACCUCGUGUCUGACCCGAAGCUUAAGUACAAUGACUAUGUGACGUCUAAUUUAUCUGAGAACGCUGCAAACUCCAGCAAUGUUUAAUCUGAUCACAUCAGUUUUCAGAAAGACAAUAUCGGUAAGACGAGUUUGUUUCGACAGCAGAAUCGUAUCUAAUCUUGCCGCAACAAUAGAUGCGGAUAGAGAUGAUAACACUUUAACAAAGACAGCACUCAUAAUAUAAAGGAGAUUAGAAAAGAAAUCUUUCAAUGUAGAAACGAAUUCUAUCAGCUAUGUUCGAUUUACUGAUCGGUGGCAUCUGUAGAAAUAUAGUGUCUAUGUGGAUUAAUCUGUUAAAGCAGGGCUAUUGUAUCAUUUUAACAUUAACUUUGCAUAGUGAUGAUACUUUUAUUGUGUCUCUUGUGAUUAUCUAUU